This 442-nucleotide ribosomal RNA is filed under the name bacterium DAZ1012. RNAcentral's name for it is "bacterial SSU rRNA". It matches the Rfam family "Bacterial small subunit ribosomal RNA", at positions 28 to 451 of the family's 1533-position model. The record is from RNAcentral.
GAUGAACGCUGGCGGCGUGCUUAACACAUGCAAGUUGAACGAAGCAAAUUAUUACGAUCCCUUUGGGGUGACGAUUUGUUGAAUGAGUGGCGGACGGGUGAGUAACGCGUGGGUAACCUUCCUUGUACAGGGGGACAACAGUUGGAAACGACUGGUAAUUCCGCAUAAGCGCACAGGUUUGCAUGAAGCAGUGUGAAAAGUUUUUUCGGUACAAGAUGGACCCGCGUCUGAUUAGCUAGUUGGUGAGGUAACGGCCCACCAAGGCGACGAUCAGUAGCCGACCUGAGAGGGUGACCGGCCACAUUGGGACUGAGACACGGCCCAAACUCCUACGGGAGGCAGCAGUGGGGAAUAUUGCACAAUGGGCGAAAGCCUGAUGCAGCGACGCCGCGUGAGCGAAGAAGUAUUUCGGUAUGUAAAGCUCUAUCAGCAGGGAAGAUAA